CCUACGGGAGGCAGCAGUGAGGAAUAUUGGACAAUGGGCGCAAGCCUGAUCCAGCCAUGCCGCGUGCAGGAAGACGGUCCUAUGGAUUGUAAACUGCUUUUAUACAGGAAGAAACACCUCUACGUGUAGAGACUUGACGGUACUGUAUGAAUAAGCAUCGGCUAACUCCGUGCCAGCAGCCGCGGUAAUACGGAGGAUGCAAGCGUUAUCCGGAAUCAUUGGGUUUAAAGGGUCCGUAGGCGGUUUAAUAAGUCAGUGGUGAAAGCCCAUCGCUCAACGAUGGAACGGCCAUUGAUACUGUUAAACUUGAAUUAUUAGGAAGUAACUAGAAUAUGUAGUGUAGCGGUGAAAUGCUUAGAGAUUACAUGGAAUACCAAUUGCGAAGGCAGGUUACUACUAAUAUAUUGACGCUGAUGGACGAAAGCGUGGGGAGCGAACAGGAUUAGAUACCCUGGUAGUCCGACGACCGUAACGAGUAGAUACUAGUCUGUUCGGUAGCGAUACUGUAGUGGUCGUAGACGAAGAG
This 526-nucleotide ribosomal RNA is filed under the name uncultured bacterium. RNAcentral's name for it is "bacterial SSU rRNA". It matches the Rfam family "Bacterial small subunit ribosomal RNA", at positions 338 to 864 of the family's 1533-position model. The record is from RNAcentral.